RNAcentral lists this ribosomal RNA (311 nucleotides) under uncultured bacterium. RNAcentral describes it as "bacterial SSU rRNA". It matches the Rfam family "Bacterial small subunit ribosomal RNA", at positions 490 to 793 of the family's 1533-position model. The record is from RNAcentral.
GCACCGGCUAACUCCGUGCCAGCAGCCGCGGUAAUACGGAGGGUGCGAGCGUUAAUCGGAAUUACUGGGCGUAAAGCGCAUGCAGGCGGCCUGUUAAGUCAGAUGUGAAAGACCCGGGGCGUUAACCUCGGAAUUGCAUUUGAAACUAGGCAGGCUAGAGUCUUGUAGAGGGGGGUAGGAAUUUCUAGGUGUAGCGGUGAAAUAGCGUAGAGAUCUGAAGGAAUACCAGUGGCGAAGGCGGCCCCCUGGACAAAGACUGACGCUCGGAUGCGAAAGCGUGGGGAGCAAACAGGAUUAGAUACCCCUGGUAG